Molecule: long non-coding RNA, 3279 nt
Organism: Mobula hypostoma (lesser devil ray)
Lineage: Eukaryota; Metazoa; Chordata; Chondrichthyes; Myliobatiformes; Myliobatidae
Exons: 3
Source: RefSeq, a predicted model, not a curated record
UCUAAUAUCUCCUUCACAGGUGACGCCGAGGCAUGUGGGCCUUAUCCACAACUGGAGCAAACACAGCUUUCCUGCUGUCGAUCUUGCUAAUGAACUAGAAUUAAUGAGUGUUACAAAUAAGGGGAAAUCCAUGGACAGGGUGAGGGUGGUUAGACACUUCCCCCAUUAGGGCAAACUGUUAGUGGUUUUGCUCAAAGUGGCUGGAACUGAUGUUAUGCAUAAGGCUUUUCUGCAGAAAAAAAUCUGUUUCAUUGGGGAAGAGCAAUGGUGAGUCACGUUAGAGCAAAUGGUCAAAAGCUCGGCUGAAGAGAUUGGUUUGCGGGAGUGGCAAAAGAGAGGUCGUGAGGCAUUCACAGUAAAUACAAAGAAACGGAAUAGAAUCAAAGAAGGACUGCACACACAAGAUGGACAAACUCCAGUGUGCAAAAGACAACAAACUGUGCAAAUAAAAGAAGAGAAAAAAGGAUAAUAAUAAAUUAUAAGCAAUUUAUGAAGAUGAUGAUUAUCAGGGAGGGAAUUCUUGACCACAGGAGCUGAAGACAUGGUAUGAAUAGUUAGUUUGGAAAUAGGCUAGAGGUCAGAUUCAGAACGGAAUGAUUUCUUAUAUAUUUAUAGGACUCAAUUAGACAAUUAUAGAGAGGAAGGAAGGGAAUUGAAAACAAGAAUCAAAAACUGCAUAUCAGCAGGUCACUUAAUUAGGUGAUUGUUUAGUUCAGUAAGACGAGGUUUGAUGGGUAAAUGGGAUGGUGUUUGCUGGGACAGUGGUAACAGCAUUGAGUAUGGAUGACUCUGAAAUAAACACGAAUGUUCAGAUGAGCAAAUAUAGAACGACGUUGACGUAAGAUAUUGCAGGGGAUUCCAAAACACUGGGUCACGCAUUUUAGAUACAAAGAUACCAGCUGAGUCACCUUUGCUAACGGGACAAGGAAUUCAUCAGACUAGCACUAUUGGUCUAUUAGUGCGAUUACAGCACCAGUGACCCAAGUUCAAUUCUGCCUCUGUCUGUAAGAAAUGUGUACUAACUCCCUGUGAGUGCUUGAGUUUUCUCCAGGUGCUCCGGUUCCCUCUCACAUUCCAAAGAUGUAGCAGUUACUAGGUUAAUUCCAAAGAUGUAGCAGUUAGUAGGUUAAUUCCAAAGAUGUAGCGGUUGGCCCCAUAGGUGGAACUGGGCAGCGGGGAUCAUUGGGCCUGAAAGGGCCGGCUGCUGUGCUGUAUCUCGAAGUAAAAUAAAUAAUCACCAUCAUUAAAGGGACAAUCACUCUAGAGUAAUAGUUGUUGACGCCUAGUAUAACACGAGCCACAAUCCCCAUCUCCUGGAGUCAUUGUGGGGAGCAUUUCAUCCACCUUACUGGAGAGACAUGUUUCUCCUUUCUUGGUUUUGAACAAUGACAUCACAAAACCAUAGGAAUUAGGCUAUUUGGCCCCCCUAGAGGGCUCCACCAUUCCAUCAUGGAUAAUUUCUUUUCCUUCUCAACCCGUUCUCCUGUCUUCUCUCCAUAACCUUUGACGCCCUCCCUAAUUAAGAAACUAUCAAUCUCCGCUUUACUAUAUCCAAUGACUUGACCUCCACAGUUGUCUGUGGUAAUGAAUUCCACAGGUUCACCACCCUCUGGCUAAAGAACUUCCUCCUCAUCACUGUUCUAAAGGGACAUCUCUCUAAUUGUGAGGCUGUGCCCUCUGGACCUAGACUCUCCCGCUAUAGGAAACAUCCUUUCCAUCCAUUCCGAACAAUCCAACUAAUGUCCCCUUGUCCCACGCGAGGUUCAUUCUCAACAAUCCUCUGUCCAUUCUCCAGCUCGUGGACCCAAUCCGAUACCGCCCAUUCACAGCACACACACACUCUCUUCUCUCCAGCAGCACACGCACCCGUCUCUUCUCACUGUUUUGUCUUGAUGUGUGGACCAGCUUGUCUGGUCCCACUGACACAGAAAAAGUAGGAUGUACUCAGAAGGUCAGAAUCAGAAUCACGUUUAAUAUCACUUGCACAUGUCAUGAAAUUUGUUGUUUUGCGGCAGCAGAAUAUUGCAAUACAUAAUAAUAAUAAAUAAUACAUUACAAUAAGAAAUAUAUAUAAAUACAUAAUUAGGUAAUGCAAAAAGAAAGCAAAGGGAAAAAUAAUACCUAAUUCUAUGGUACAUUGUCCAUUCAGAAAUCUGAUGGUGGAGAGGAAGAAGCUGUUCCCCUAAAGACACAUUGAGUGUGGGUCUUCUGGCUCCUGUACCUCAUCCUUGAUGGUAGCAAUGAGAAGGGGGCUUGUCCUGGGUGAUGGGGGUCCUCAGUGGCGGAUGCCGUCUUCUUGAGGCAUCACCUUUUGAAGCUGGGGAGGCUGGUGCCCAUGAUGGAGCUCGUCGAGUCUGCAACUUUCUGCAGUUUUUCCUGAUCCUGUGCAAUGCCCCCCGCCAUACCAGACGGUGAUGCAGCCAGUUAGAAUGCUCUCCACGGUACACUUGCAGAAAUUUGCUGGAAUCACACCAGAUCUCCUCAAACUCCUGUUGAAAUAUAGCUGCUGUUGUGCCUUCUUUGUAACCUCACCAGUAUGCCAGGCAGCUUCUGUGCGAGGUUCGUUCAUCAUCAUCGACGAAGACCUCGACACCAUUAGUACUUUUUACGAGGUUGAGUUGCUAGCUCGACACUCAACCCGGCACGGACGGAGAGCGUGGAUUCAAACUCGGGAACCUUCGUCCGGAGUCCAGCGCUGAUGUCACUGCACCACCAGCCGGCUUCUUAUGGUGCUGAGACUAGCGCGUGAUUUGGAUUUAACUGAGGGGGAUUUGCGCAGCGUCAGCCUCACUCUCUCUUCCCAAUUCCCAUCUGGAUCCAGUGGCAAGACAAGAGUUCAGACGGCUGGAGAUGGGACUAGGCAUGGGGGAUGACCAGGAUGUCUUCUGUGUCUUGUCAUGCUCUACAUGUUCCACGACACUUGCAGUGACCACCUUCUUGACCGUUGGACCUUCCAUUGGUCUCGUCCACUCAACCCGCCGGAGUCUGUCUUCACAUGCCGGGACAGACAGCUCCCUAUCUCACCGAGGGUUUGAGACCCGUCGGCUACCCUCACCUGGUUUAGCCGGCUUGUCAAAGCUGUUGCCCGGGGUGUGGCCACUGUCGCAUGUGUGGUAAGCCAUAUAUAUAUGUUAACUGGGUUAACUGUCUGGACAUGUCCCUCUGCUGACUGCUCUUGUGGCUCCUUCCACAGACCCCUGAAUAAAGGCAAUUUCGCCCUGCUUCUCCCCCUCAGACCAGGGGCAGACACUCAGCAUGGAGGUCAUGUUUUACUGUGAA